CCUACGGGUGGCAGCAGUGGGGAAUAUUGCACAAUGGGGGAAACCCUGAUGCAGCGACGCCGCGUGAAGGACGAAGUAUUUCGGUACGUAAACUUCUAUCAGCAGGGAAGAAAAUGACGGUACCUGACCAAGAAGCCCCGGCUAACUACGUGCCAGCAGCCGCGGUAAUACGUAGGGGGCAAGCGUUAGACGGAUUUACUGGGUGUAAAGGGAGCGUAGACGGCCAUGCAAGUCUGAUGUGAAACCCCGGGGCUCAACCCCGGGACUGCAUUGGACACUGGGCGGCUGGAGUGUCGGAGAGGCAAGUGGAAGUCCUAGUGGAGCGGUGAAAUGCGUAGAUAUUAGGAGGAACACCAGGGGCGAAGGCGGCUGGCUGGACGACGACGGACGUUGAGGCUCGAAAGCGUGGGGAGCAAACAGGAGGAGAUACCCCGGUAGUC
RNAcentral lists this ribosomal RNA (440 nucleotides) under uncultured bacterium. RNAcentral's name for it is "partial 16S ribosomal RNA". It matches the Rfam family "Bacterial small subunit ribosomal RNA", at positions 338 to 795 of the family's 1533-position model. The record is from RNAcentral.